This 285-nucleotide ribosomal RNA is filed under the name uncultured soil bacterium. RNAcentral describes it as "partial 16S ribosomal RNA". It matches the Rfam family "Bacterial small subunit ribosomal RNA", at positions 26 to 309 of the family's 1533-position model. The record is from RNAcentral.
AGAUUGAACGCUGGCGGCAGGCCUAACACAUGCAAGUCGAGCGGCAGCACGGGUACUUGUACCUGGCGGCGAGCGGCGGACGGGUGAGUAAUGCCUAGGAAUCUGCCUGGUAGUGGGGGAUAACGCUCGGAAACGGACGCUAAUACCGCAUACGUCCUACGGGAGAAAGCAGGGGACCUUCGGGCCUUGCGCUAUCAGAUGAGCCUAGGUCGGAUUAGCUAGUUGGUGGGGUAAUGGCUCACCGAAGGCGACGAUCCGUAACUGGUACUGAGAGGAUGAUCAGUC